CUAGAGUUCCCCUGAGCACUUCAUUGGGAGCCCUUAAUAUACUUUUGUCUUCCAACUGAAGUGUUUGGGGGAACUCCUGGU
This 81-nucleotide small RNA is filed under the name Manihot esculenta (cassava). Its description in RNAcentral is "precursor microRNA miR395a". The record is from RNAcentral. Lineage: Eukaryota; Viridiplantae; Streptophyta; Magnoliopsida; Malpighiales; Euphorbiaceae.